Molecule: transfer RNA, 73 nt
Filed under: Mustela putorius furo (domestic ferret)
Lineage: Eukaryota; Metazoa; Chordata; Mammalia; Carnivora; Mustelidae
Rfam family: tRNA
About the family: Transfer RNA (tRNA) molecules are approximately 80 nucleotides in length.
Source: Rfam by way of RNAcentral
GCCCAGUUGGCUCAAUUGGUAAAGCAUCUGACUCUUGAUCCCAAGGUCUUGAGUUUAAAUCCCACAUUGAGUG